This 64-nucleotide transfer RNA is filed under the name Eurythenes maldoror. Its description in RNAcentral is "tRNA-Pro". The record is from RNAcentral. Lineage: Eukaryota; Metazoa; Arthropoda; Malacostraca; Amphipoda; Lysianassidae.
CAAGAAGUAGUUUAUUUAAAACAAUAGUUUUGGGGACUAUUAAAAAGGGGAACCUUUUUUUUGA